RNAcentral lists this ribosomal RNA (443 nucleotides) under uncultured bacterium. RNAcentral describes it as "partial 16S ribosomal RNA". It matches the Rfam family "Bacterial small subunit ribosomal RNA", at positions 338 to 795 of the family's 1533-position model. The record is from RNAcentral.
CCUACGGGGGGCUGCAGUGGGGAAUAUUGGGCAAUGGGCGCAAGCCUGACCCAGCAACGCCGCGUGAAGGAAGAAGGCUUUCGGGUUGUAAACUUCUUUUCUGAGGGACGAAGAAAGUGACGGUACCUCAGGAAUAAGCCACGGCUAACUACGUGCCAGCAGCCGCGGUAAUACGUAGGUGGCAAGCGUUAUCCGGAUUUAUUGGGUGUAAAGGGGGUGUAGGCGGGAAAACAAGUACGAUGUGAAAACCCAGGGCUCAACCCGUGACCUGCAUUUGAAACUGUUUUUCUUGAGUUCCGGAGAGGGCAUCGGAAUUACGGGGGUAGCGGUGAAAUGCGUAGAUAUUAGGAAGAACACCAGUGGCGAAGGCGGAUUGCUGGACCAUAACUGACGGUGAGGCGCGAAAGCGUGGGGAGCAAACAGGAUUAGAUACCCGAGUAGUC